RNAcentral lists this ribosomal RNA (405 nucleotides) under uncultured prokaryote. RNAcentral describes it as "bacterial SSU rRNA". It matches the Rfam family "Bacterial small subunit ribosomal RNA", at positions 355 to 774 of the family's 1533-position model. The record is from RNAcentral.
UGGGGAAUAUUGGGCAAUGGGCGAAAGCCUGACCCAGCAACGCCGCGUGAUUGAAGAAGGUCUUCGGGUUGUAAAGAUCUGUCCUAUGGGACGAACACAAUGACGGUACCAUAGGAGGAAGCCCCGGCUAACUACGUGCCAGCAGCCGCGGUAAUACGGAGGGGGCUAGCGUUGUCCGGAAUUACUGGGCGUAAAGGGUGCGCAGGCGGCAUUUUAAGUCAGAUGUGAAAUACCCGGGCUUAACCCGGUGGGUGCAUUUGAAACUGGAAGGCUUGAGUGCAGGUGAGGUAAGUGGAAUUCCUAGUGUAGCGGUGAAAUGCGUAGAUAUUAGGAGGAACACCAGUGGCGAAGGCGACUUACUGGACUGUAACUGACGCUGAGGCACGAAAGCGUGGGGAGCAAACA